Molecule: ribosomal RNA, 450 nt
Filed under: uncultured bacterium
Lineage: Bacteria
Description: partial 16S ribosomal RNA
Rfam family: Bacterial small subunit ribosomal RNA
Source: RNAcentral
GUGGGGAAUAUUGGACAAUGGGGGGAACCCUGAUCCAGCCAUGCUGCGUGUGUGAAGAAGGCCUUUUGGUUGUAAAGCACUUUAAGCGAGGAGGAGGCUACCGAGAUUAAUACUCUUGGAUAGUGGACGUUACUCGCAGAAUAAGCACCGGCUAACUCUGUGCCAGCAGCCGCGGUAAUACAGAGGGUGCAAGCGUUAAUCGGAUUUACUGGGCGUAAAGCGCGCGUAGGUGGCCAAUUAAGUCAAAUGUGAAAUCCCCGAGCUUAACUUGGGAAUUGAAUUCGUAACGGGUUGGCUAGAGUAUGGGAGGGGAUGGUAGAAUUCCAGGUGUAGCGGUGAAAUGCGUAGAGAUCUGGAGGAAUACCGAUGGCGAAGGCAGCCAUCUGGCCUAAUACUGACACUGAGGUGCGAAAGAAUGGGGAGCAAACAGAAUUAGAUACCCAGUAGUCC